UACGUAGGGUGCGAGCGUUAAUCGGAAUUACUGGGCGUAAAGCGUGCGCAGGCGGUUUUGUAAGCCAGAUGUGAAAUCCCCGGGCUCAACCUGGGAAUGGCAUUUGGGACUGCAAGGCUUGAGUCCGGGAGGGGAGAGCGGAAUUCCUAGUGUAGCGGUGAAAUGCGCAGAUAUUAGGAAGAACACCGGUGGCGAAGGCGGCUCUCUGGAACGGUACUGACGCUGAGACGCGAAAGCGUGGGGAGCAAACAGG
This 253-nucleotide ribosomal RNA is filed under the name uncultured bacterium. Its description in RNAcentral is "partial 16S ribosomal RNA". It matches the Rfam family "Bacterial small subunit ribosomal RNA", at positions 524 to 776 of the family's 1533-position model. The record is from RNAcentral.